This 269-nucleotide ribosomal RNA is filed under the name uncultured bacterium. Its description in RNAcentral is "partial 16S ribosomal RNA". It matches the Rfam family "Bacterial small subunit ribosomal RNA", at positions 87 to 354 of the family's 1533-position model. The record is from RNAcentral.
UUAUUUUAGCGGCGGACGGGUGAGUAACGUGUGGGCAACCUACCUUUUACUGUGGAAUAAUCGUUGGAAACGACGACUAAUACCGCAUACGGUUCUUGGAAGGCAUCUUCUAAGAAAGAAAGGAGUAAUUCGGUAAAAGAUGGGCCCGCAUCUGAUUAGCUAGUUGGUGAGAUAAUAGCCCACCAAGGCAACGAUCAGUAGCCGACCUGAGAGGGUGACCGGCCACAUUGGGACUGAGACACGGCCCAAACUCCUACGGAAGGCAGCAG